CAUCACCCCCAUCAGGCCUGUUCAUGUAGACUCUACACUGCAGACUGCAGGGAUGAAACUCUGUAUCCAAGAACCUACCAAUAAAGACCCCUGUGAAACGGCUGGCAAACAGGCUCAGAAUCCGAAGCAUAGAGAGUCUCUCCCAGGAAACUUGACCAGCAAACCUGAAGGACAGGCUUCGGCUUCCCAAGAUAGACGCUGGAGUUGGAGCUGCACAUCCAUCGAGGAAGGGACCUUACCCAGGCAACUCACCAAUUGGAGCCUCAGUUUCUGCAUCUGCAGAUUCAUCACCCACUGAGCUAUAAGGGAAGCCCUGUUUUGACCACAUUCAAGUGGAC
RNAcentral lists this long non-coding RNA (338 nucleotides) under Capra hircus (goat). RNAcentral describes it as "lncRNA (ENSCHIG00010009001.1)". Lineage: Eukaryota; Metazoa; Chordata; Mammalia; Artiodactyla; Bovidae. The record is from RNAcentral.